UACAGAGGGUGCAAGCGUUAAUCGGAAUUACUGGGCGUAAAGCGUGCGUAGGUGGUUUACUAAGUCAGGUGUGAAAUCCCCGGGCUCAACCUGGGAACUGCGCUUGAUACUGGUAAACUAGAGUUUAGUAGAGGGAAGUGGAAUUCCACGUGUAGCGGUGAAAUGCGUAGAUAUCGUAAGGAAGACCAGUGGCGAAGGCGGAUCUCUGGACAGUUACUGACACUGAGGCACGAAGGCCAGGGGAGCAAACGGG
RNAcentral lists this ribosomal RNA (253 nucleotides) under uncultured bacterium. Its description in RNAcentral is "partial 16S ribosomal RNA". It matches the Rfam family "Bacterial small subunit ribosomal RNA", at positions 524 to 776 of the family's 1533-position model. The record is from RNAcentral.